GUGAGGAAUAUUGCGCAAUGGAGGCAACUCUGACGCAGCCAUGCCGCGUGCAGGAAGAAGGCGCUACGCGUUGUAAACUGCUUUUAACCGGGAAGAAACCCCAGGACGUGUCCUGGGUUGACGGUACCGGAGGAAUAAGCACCGGCUAACUUCGUGCCAGCAGCCGCGGUAAUACGAAGGGUGCAAGCGUUAUCCGGAUUCAUUGGGUUUAAAGGGUGCGUAGGCGGAGCGUUAAGUCAGUGGUGAAUUCCUGCAGCUUAACUGUAGACUUGCCAUUGAUACUGGCGCUCUUGAGUGCGCUUGAAGUGGGCGGAAUGUGCCGUGUAGCGGUGAAAUGCUGAGAUAAGGCACAGAACACCAAUUGCGAAGGCAGCUCACUAAGGCGAUACUGACGAUGAGGCACGAAAGCGUGGGGAUCGAACAGGAUUAGAUACCCGGGUAGUCC
RNAcentral lists this ribosomal RNA (445 nucleotides) under uncultured bacterium. RNAcentral describes it as "partial 16S ribosomal RNA". It matches the Rfam family "Bacterial small subunit ribosomal RNA", at positions 354 to 796 of the family's 1533-position model. The record is from RNAcentral.